Zalophus californianus (California sea lion) is the source of this 1288-nucleotide long non-coding RNA. RefSeq lists it as uncharacterized. NCBI's taxonomy places the organism in Eukaryota, Metazoa, Chordata, Mammalia, Carnivora, Otariidae. The record is from RefSeq and is a predicted model, not a curated record. The transcript is spliced from 4 exons.
GCAUGCAUCCCAUCGGGCCGGGGUCACCUGUGGCCCGCUAGCCCUGCGCCCCCUCCGGGGCAGAGACCGCGUCUGCGUCUGCGCCGCUCCCGGCUCCCUGGCCCGUCGCUGGCGCGGCCCCUGGUCCCGCUCUCCGCAGAGCACCGUGGUGCCCAGCGGGGACUGCCGGAGUUUGAAGCCCGCUCUGCCUCUCGCUCGCUGUGUGCCCAAAGUGCCCCUUAUUUUGGUAAGUUCUGGGGACACAUACGGACAUAUUAGUAACUCACCCUGGAGCAGAACCCAGCCUCUCUGACUUUUCCUACCGGCAUCGAAUUUUCCUGGGCAGAAAGGAAGGAAUGUGAGAUGAAAGAUACGGGUUGUAUAGACCUCAUUGUCCUCAGGAUUAGAGUCCAGAUUCCAAUCAUAAUUUGCAAGUCUCUUCAAGACCCGGCCCUGCUAAAUGAGACGUCGGUCAGAGGGUACAAACUUGCAUUUAUGAGUCCUUUUCUAUGGCUCAAGUUCAGGAGUCCAGCCUGUCCCCCUAGUCACAUCAGAGACAAAGAGAGGGAGAAAGAGAAUGAAGACAUUGUCUGGAUGCUCGGAUACUUCUGGAAAAGUCAGCUCUGGCACGGGCUGAGGCGUAACUCCAGGGUUCAGAAAGCCCUGCGGUUAAUUUAGCCCAAAUUCUGAGCUGAGUGUGCCUAGCGACUCCCCAAAGAUGACCAUGGCAUCAGAAUCUUUCUAACCCUAGCCUUGGGCAAACACCACCACCAAAGAGUGGCCAGAGCCGAGCUUUGGCUGGACAUGGAACAGAACUGGGAAGAAAACAAGUACAUCGGGGUAGAUAACAAGUUGUUCACAGUGAGCAAGGCCCCAGUGGCCUCCUUAUAAAUCUCAGUCCUGAGAAAGUGUGGUUAGAGCUGAAAGCCCCGACAUGUCACGCGCUGCUAUUCCCGUGGAAAUACCAACCAGACAGCGCAUGCACCCGGAGACGGGACGAGGGCAACACACUCUGGAUACAAAACCUUCAACCAACCACCAAACUUUCUUUAAAGGGAGACGUGUUUGGCACUCUGUUGGGCACAGGGACUACAAAUAGGAGUAAAAAUGCUACCAUCUGUGCUGAUAUCAUCCACGCUCGCACAUGCAUCGAUCGUCUGGGGAGGGCAACAGCAGUGGGAGAGAGUCUAAGGGGUCACCGCAAACCCCUCCUGCCUUGUGAAUUCGCUCUCAGAAGCACACGUUACCUAUGCAGACAAUAAAUGAGGGGCACCCGGCCGGCUCAGUUGGAAGAGCGUGUGACUCUUGA